UUCAAAAUAUUGUGGGGUCUACAGCAAGUUUGAUUUACCCGGAUAUCACUUCCCCGGGUAAAUGAUACCCUUGUGAGACUCGGGUAAGUUGAUUUCCCGAGUGGAGGGUAGGCAGAUAAAAAUAGAAAAUCUCAAUAUUACCCCUAGAAGAUAUAAAGGUUCAGACUCUACCUCUCCGAAAAAUCACCUCUGUGUUUCCCUCCACUUCGUUCUACUUCUCCGAAAAUCAACUUCUGCGUUUCUCAUCCACACCUUUCUUCUUCUAUGCCAUUAUUUCUUUUAGACAGAGAAUGCUGAGUUCUGCCUUUCUUCUGUCGCUGAUGUGUGUCUCUGAGUUCUCUGCGUAUCUCUGCGUUUCUCCUCCGAAAAUCACCUCUGCGUAUCUCGGAGUUCUGCUUCUCUGCCUUCGCUGCUGCUACAUCAAAUCAUCGCAAAUGCUGAAGAGUUGUCGUCGCCGUCCUCCAUCUGUUGCCAGCACCAUUGAUCAUCCCAGUUGUUGUCACCGCUUCGUCUAGUUGUCAUCAUUGGUCAUUUUUUUCCUCCAUUUAAACAAUUUCUUGGAUCUAGUAUUUUGGUUUUUUAAUCAACUAUGAUACCUAGAGUUUUCAGAAUCAGAACAGAAACAAUUCUUGUUGUAGAAGAUCUACUCAGUGAAUCACUCUACAUUUACUUUCCGAUAUCCACCCAACGAGAUACGCUGAAUAUCGGGAUGCAAGUGAUCAUUGCUCGCUGUCCUACUGCACGGAUGGUCUGAUUUAUGCCAUCACGGGGUCCACUGGAAUUACCAUUUCCAACACUAUUUUUCCCAUCACAAUGAUACAAUGUUGCUUGGCCACUGGAUAUUGGAAUGCAAGUGACCAUUGCAUUCAAUCAUUUCGGUCGGUGAGGGGAUCAUACAGAAAAUGCCCAGGUAUAGGCGUGGCUACAUCCACAUGUUAACAAUGAUUUCACGCAGUGGCUGAUAUAUGCAUGCAAUCGGCGGUAGUGCCAAUACCACCAUAAACAGUCAGGACAACCACAACAUUGUGCCGUCGAACCUGGAUUCCGAGGAGGUGACAAAGCGGGUGGACAGUGGACGAGUUGGAACUGGAGGAUGAAGGGCGAUAUAAUGGUAUUGGAGACAAGAUCUGCUCCUCACACCCGGCGCCUCGUAGGCUUUUCACACAAACAUCCUACCUUGGGAACAUUUCCUAUUAUUUUUAGUUAUUAUUCAUGGGGAUGUUCUCAAUGCACGGUGGAUGUGCAUGUGAAGCGCCCAUUUGUGAGGAGCAGAUCCUGUCUUGGUAAAUGGAGCGUUUUUCGUGCCAUCCAGGGAGGGCCUAGGGGUAAAGUAUGCCAAGGCGCGGGUGUGGAGUCCAAAUAGACCUAUUCAUGGGCCAGAUAGCCCGAUGGCCUGGCCCGGUCCAGCCUGCACCCCGGU
Nelumbo nucifera (sacred lotus) is the source of this 1420-nucleotide long non-coding RNA. RefSeq lists it as uncharacterized. The record is from RefSeq and is a predicted model, not a curated record. Lineage: Eukaryota; Viridiplantae; Streptophyta; Magnoliopsida; Proteales; Nelumbonaceae.